RNAcentral lists this unclassified non-coding RNA (253 nucleotides) under uncultured Legionellaceae bacterium. Its description in RNAcentral is "contains 16S-23S intergenic spacer region". It matches the Rfam family "Bacterial small subunit ribosomal RNA", at positions 524 to 776 of the family's 1533-position model. The record is from RNAcentral. Lineage: Bacteria; Pseudomonadati; Pseudomonadota; Gammaproteobacteria; Legionellales; Legionellaceae.
UACGGAGGGUGCAAGCGUUAAUCGGAAUUACUGGGCGUAAAGGGUGCGUAGGUGGUUUAAUAAGUUAUGUGUGAAAGUCCUGGGCUUAACCUAGGGAUUGCAGAUGAGACUGUUAGACUUGAGUAUGGGAGAGGGCAGUGGAAUUUCCGGUGUAGCGGUGAAAUGCGUAGAGAUCGGAAGGAACACCAGUGGCGAAGGCGACUGCCUGGCCUGUUACUGACACUGAGGCACGAAAGCGUGGGGAGCAAACAGG